GACGAACGCUGGCGGCGUGCUUAACACAUGCAAGUCGAACGGAAAGGCCCUGCUUUUGUGGGGUGCUCGAGUGGCGAACGGGUGAGUAACACGUGAGUAACCUGCCCUUGACUUUGGGAUAACUUCAGGAAACUGGGGCUAAUACCGGAUAGGAGCUCCUGCUGCAUGGUGGGGGUUGGAAAGUUUCGGCGGUUGGGGAUGGACUCGCGGCUUAUCAGCUUGUUGGUGGGGUAGUGGCUUACCAAGGCUUUGACGGGUAGCCGGCCUGAGAGGGUGACCGGCCACAUUGGGACUGAGAUACGGCCCAGACUCCUACGGGAGGCAGCAGUGGGGAAUAUUGCACAAUGGGCGGAAGCCUGAUGCAGCAACGCCGCGUGCGGGAUGACGGCCUUCGGGUUGUAAACCGCUUUCGCCUGUGACGAAGCGUGAGUGACGGUAAUGGGUAAAGAAGCACCGGCUAACUACGUGCCAGCAGCCGCGGUGAUACGUAGGGUGCGAGCGUUGUCCGGAUUUAUUGGGCGUAAAGGGCUCGUAGGUGGUUGAUCGCGUCGGAAGUGUAAUCUUGGGGCUUAACCCUGAGCGUGCUUUCGAUACGGGUUGACUUGAGGAAGGUAGGGGAGAAUGGAAUUCCUGGUGGAGCGGUGGAAUGCGCAGAUAUCAGGAGGAACACCAGUGGCGAAGGCGGUUCUCUGGGCCUUUCCUGACGCUGAGGAGCGAAAGCGUGGGGAGCGAACAGGCUUAGAUACCCUGGUAGUCCACGCUGUAAACGGUGGGUACUAGGUGUGGGGUCCAUUCCACGGGUUCCGUGCCGUAGCUAACGCUUUAAGUACCCCGCCUGGGGAGUACGGCCGCAAGGCUAAAACUCGAAGGAAUUGACGGGGCCCCGCACAAGCGGCGGAGCAUGCGGAUUAAUUCGAUGCAACGCGUAGAACCUUACCUGGGUUUGACAUGGAUCGGGAGUGCUCAGAGAUGGGUGUGCCUCUUUUGGGGUCGGUUCACAGGUGGUGCAUGCCUGUCGUCAGCUCGUGUCGUGAGAUGUUGGGUUAAGUCCCGCAACGAGCGCAACCCUUGUUCACUGUUGCCAGCACGUUAUGGUGGGGACUCAGUGGAGACCGCCGGGGUCAACUCGGAGGAAGGUGGGGAUGACGUCAAGUCCUCAUGCCCCUUAUGUCCAGGGCUUCACGCAUGCAACAAUGGCUGGUACAGAGAGUGGCGAGCCUGUGAGGGUGAGCGAAUCUCGGAAAGCCGGUCUCAGUUCGGAUUGGGGUCUGCAACUCGACCUCAUGAAGUCGGAGUCGCUAGUGAUCGCAGAUCAGCAACGCUGCGGUGAAUACGUUCCCGGGGCU
RNAcentral lists this ribosomal RNA (1346 nucleotides) under uncultured bacterium. Its description in RNAcentral is "bacterial SSU rRNA". It matches the Rfam family "Bacterial small subunit ribosomal RNA", at positions 28 to 1381 of the family's 1533-position model. The record is from RNAcentral.